RNAcentral lists this ribosomal RNA (232 nucleotides) under uncultured bacterium. RNAcentral describes it as "partial 16S ribosomal RNA". It matches the Rfam family "Bacterial small subunit ribosomal RNA", at positions 99 to 334 of the family's 1533-position model. The record is from RNAcentral.
CGGACGGGUGAGUAAUGUCUGGGAAACUGCCCGAUGAGGGGGAGUAACUACUGGAAACGGUAGCUAAUACCGCAUAACGUCGCAAGACCAAAGAGGGGGACCUUAGGGCCUCUUGCCAUCGGAUGUGCCCAGAUGGGAUUAGCUAGUAGGUGGGGUAAUGGCUCACCUAGGCGACGAUCCCUAGCUGGUCUGAGAGGAUGAUCAGCCACACUGGGACUGAGACACGGCCCAG